RNAcentral lists this ribosomal RNA (482 nucleotides) under uncultured bacterium. Its description in RNAcentral is "bacterial SSU rRNA". The stretch from base 72 to 482 matches the Rfam family "Bacterial small subunit ribosomal RNA", at positions 1 to 414 of the family's 1533-position model. The record is from RNAcentral.
GGCGUGCCAGGUUGCAUAAAGAAAUUGUAGUACUUGCAGAAAAUCGUCAGGUUUCUGGAGUUUUUUGGAUUGAACUUAAGAGUUUGAUCCUGGCUCAGAUUGAACGCUGGCGGCAUGCUUUACACAUGCAAGUCGAACGGUAACAGGGAGCUUGCUCCGCUGACGAGUGGCGAACGGGUGAGUAAUGCAUCGGAACGUACCCAGUCGUGGGGGAUAACGUAGCGAAAGUUACGCUAAUACCGCAUACGUCCUGAGGGAGAAAGCGGGGGACCGUAAGGCCUCGCGCGAUUGGAGCGGCCGAUGUCGGAUUAGCUAGUUGGUGGGGUAAAGGCCUACCAAGGCGACGAUCCGUAGCGGGUCUGAGAGGAUGAUCCGCCACACUGGGACUGAGACACGGCCCAGACUCCUACGGGAGGCAGCAGUGGGGAAUUUUGGACAAUGGGGGCAACCCUGAUCCAGCCAUGCCGCGUGAGUGAAGAAGG